Molecule: long non-coding RNA, 1354 nt
Organism: Gasterosteus aculeatus aculeatus (three-spined stickleback)
Lineage: Eukaryota; Metazoa; Chordata; Actinopteri; Perciformes; Gasterosteidae
Source: Ensembl
CACUUUAGAGCUGAAGACGUCAAUUAUUUGUUUCUGCUUUCAAAGAGAAACGAAAUGAUCCUUCUAGAGCGUAAAGCUGCUUUACAGGUUGGUAACAGCUGGUCUGUUUCCAGAUGCUUUACUGUGACGGCUCUACUAGGAUACGUUGUUCAUGAGAUUAUUUUCAUUAUAUUCACGUAAAAGCAGGAUUGUACUGUUGUUAAAGUGGAGCUGGCUGAAUUAUUCACCAAUGGUUAUUUUGACGAUGGAUUAAUCUGCUGAUUGGAUUUGUUCUUCCGUCCGUUAUGGGAUCCUGUGCUUUUCCACUACGACUCAUCUUUUUAUCAUCAGCUCCGUUUGGUCUCAGACUCGUCCUGUUCUUCCACUGUGAUCAAACAUCUUCUGUGAAGCCCUGGAGGCUCUCCUGCGCCCUCUAGAGGGCUCCCGGUCUCCGUGAGGGCCUCCCCCCCCCCCCCCUCCCCCUGAUGGGGGGCUCCGGUGCCGCUGUGAGGCUGCAUGAGUCCAGGAGCUCUCAGGACUCCGAGGAGCUGGACGGACCCCCCGCCUCUAAACCCACGACACUGUGCAGCAGAAGGUCUGGACUCCUCAGCGAGUCUCCUCCGGGGGAAAACUACCAGCGGAGCUUUGACCUUUGCACCCUGAGAGCGGUGACCCCCCUCCGCCUCCGUCCAGCCGCGCCGGAGCAGCGCCCCCCACAGAGCACCUACCGAGAGCAGUUUCAGUCUCCUCUGUUUCCGCAGUAGAAAACAACGUCCAACAAUGAAAAAGUCAUGAGUUUAAAACGCAAAAUGCAGAAAGGACAACUUGCAAAUAAUUGAUUGUAUGAAUGUGUGAAACUAAAAGACUGGGCGGGGCAUUGGUUGUGGAAUGUAAGGUAAUCUGAGUGCCCCCCCCCCCGGCGUGCUUCACGGCCCCUGAGAAACGCGAGUUGUUCCUGCAGAGAAACAAUGCUGUUGUUGUAACAUCGGUAACGUUUGCUCCGUCCGUGAAUGCAAACCGGCCCGACAGCAUAACCCCAAGUUUGUUUUCCUCCACCUUCAUAAUGUCAUAGAUAUUUGUGUUUGUACGCUGUGUGAACCAAAUAAACAAACAACUAAAAGGAACAAACCCUUUCGCAAACAAAAUAAAAAUGAAAGUCUGAGUUUAAAAGCUUGUAUUGAUCUGAAUGAAUGAGAUGAUUUAAAGCUUCUCUGUUUUAAAACACUUGAGCAGAUUAUCAGUGGCACAAAACCACAAUGACUCUUUGGAUUCAGACACAAUAAACUACUGUAGAUCAGCGAGAACUUGUUACGCUGAUGACGUGACUGUUUAUUUAGCAUGGCUUGUACUGUGAUGGGGGGAGUAUUCAGAUAUU